AGGCUUAACACAUGCAAGUCGAGCGCAYUCUUUUAGAGUGAGCGGCAAACGGGUGAGUAACGCGUGGGAAUCUACCCCUCUCUACGGAAUAACACAGAGAAAUUUGUGCUAAUACCGUAUACGUCCUAUUGGAGAAAGAUUUAUCGGAGAUGGAUGAGCCCGCGUUGGAUUAGCUAGUUGGUGAGGUAAUAGCUCACCAAGGCGACGAUCCAUAGCUGGUCUGAGAGGAUGAUCAGCCACACUGGGACUGAGACACGGCCCAGACUCCUACGGGAGGCAGCAGUGGGGAAUAUUGGACAAUGGGGGCAACCCUGAUCCAGCCAUGCCGCGUGAGUGAUGAAAGCCCUAGGGUUGUAAAGCUCUUUCA
Molecule: ribosomal RNA, 367 nt
Filed under: uncultured Bartonella sp.
Lineage: Bacteria; Pseudomonadati; Pseudomonadota; Alphaproteobacteria; Hyphomicrobiales; Bartonellaceae
Description: bacterial SSU rRNA
Rfam family: Bacterial small subunit ribosomal RNA
Source: RNAcentral